Molecule: long non-coding RNA, 552 nt
Filed under: Struthio camelus australis
Lineage: Eukaryota; Metazoa; Chordata; Aves; Struthioniformes; Struthionidae
Description: lncRNA (ENSSCUG00000013242.1)
Source: RNAcentral
GCACACUACUUGCCUAUUCAAAAAUCCUAAAAGAAGCCAUUUCUUCUUACAGUCACUGAGAAUGUCCUGGCUUCAGAUUUCUGCCUUCCUCUUUGCUGACGUGAAUCAGAUUUACCUUCUCCAAAAAUUUGUCUUGUUGCCAGCCUCACCUUAAGAGUCUUGAGAAGGAGUUAUUUAAGAAACCCACUUUACCAAAUAGCGUGAUAUUUCUGAUGACAUUAGAGUUACUCCAUACUCUUGAGAUGUGCAGGUGAGAUCAGACUUCUGAUAACUCCAGAUUAUGGACUUAAUUCUGCCCUAGUUAUACUCAAGGAUUUUUAGUUAACUAACUAGUUAGUUAACUAGUUUAGUUAACUAACAAGGAUUUUUAGUUAACUAACUAAAAUCAAUUCCUGUAUAUCAUUUCGCCUUACAGUCCUUUCUGUUUGAGCUAGCUGAUUGGCAACAUUUUUAAGUGAAAAGACAAGCUCUUUUUUGCUAAUCACAAAAGGCAGUAAGCAGUAAGGUUAUUAGCUGCAAAGCAGCAUGAGUUUGUAGGCUGCUAAAUAAUAA